AGAGUUUGAUCAUGGCUCAGAUUGAACGCUGGCGGCAGGCCUAACACAUGCAAGUCGAACGGUAACAGGAAGCAGCUUGCUGCUUUGCUGACGAGUGGCGGACGGGUGAGUAAUGUCUGGGAAACUGCCUGAUGGAGGGGGAUAACUAAUGGAAACGGUGGCUAAUACCGCAUAACGUCGCAAGACCAAAGAGGGGGACCUUCGGGCCUCUUGCCAUCAGAUGUGCCCAGAUGGGAUUAGCUUGUUGGUGAGGUAACGGCUCACCAAGGCGACGAUCCCUAGCUGGUCUGAGAGGAUGACCAGCCACACUGGAACUGAGACACGGUCCAGACUCCUACGGGAGGCAGCAGUGGGGAAUAUUGCACAAUGGGCGCAAGCCUGAUGCAGCCAUGCCGCGUGUAUGAAGAAGGCCUUCGGGUUGUAAAGUACUUUCAGCGGGGAGGAAGGUGUUGUGGUUAAUAACCGCAGCAAUUGACGUUACCCGCAGAAGAAGCACCGGCUAACUCCGUGCCAGCAGCCGCGGUAAUACGGAGGGUGCAAGCGUUAAUCGGAAUUACUGGGCGUAAAGCGCACGCAGGCGGUCUGUCAAGUCGGAUGUGAAAUCCCCGGGCUCAACCUGGGAACUGCAUUCGAAACUGGCAGGCUUGAGUCUUGUAGAGGGGGGUAGAAUUCCAGGUGUAGCGGUGAAAUGCGUAGAGAUCUGGAGGAAUACCGGUGGCGAAGGCGGCCCCCUGGACAAAGACUGACGCUCAGGUGCGAAAGCGUGGGGAGCAAACAGGAUUAGAUACCCUGGUAGUCCACGCCGUAAACGAUGUCUACUUGGAGGUUGUGCCCUUGAGGCGUGGCUUCCGGAGCUAACGCGUUAAGUAGACCGCCUGGGGAGUACGGCCGCAAGGUUAAAACUCAAAUGAAUUGACGGGGGCCCGCACAAGCGGUGGAGCAUGUGGUUUAAUUCGAUGCAACGCGAAGAACCUUACCUGGUCUUGACAUCCACAGAAGAAUCCAGAGAUGGAUUUGUGCCUUCGGGAACUGUGAGACAGGUGCUGCAUGGCUGUCGUCAGCUCGUGUUGUGAAAUGUUGGGUUAAGUCCCGCAACGAGCGCAACCCUUAUCCUUUGUUGCCAGCGGUUAGGCCGGGAACUCAAAGGAGACUGCCAGUGAUAAACUGGAGGAAGGUGGGGAUGACGUCAAGUCAUCAUGGCCCUUACGACCAGGGCUACACACGUGCUACAAUGGCGCAUACAAAGAGAAGCGACCUCGCGAGAGCAAGCGGACCUCAUAAAGUGCGUCGUAGUCCGGAUUGGAGUCUGCAACUCGACUCCAUGAAGUCGGAAUCGCUAGUAAUCGUGGAUCAGAAUGCCACGGUGAAUACGUUCCCGGGCCUUGUACACACCGCCCGUCACACCAUGGGAGUGGGUUGCAAAAGAAGUAGGUAGCUUAACCUUCGGGAGGGCGCUUACCACUUUGUGAUUCAUGACUGGGGUGAAGUCGUAACAAGGUAACCGUAGGGGAACCUGCGGUUGGAUCACCU
RNAcentral lists this ribosomal RNA (1530 nucleotides) under Salmonella enterica. Its description in RNAcentral is "bacterial SSU rRNA". It matches the Rfam family "Bacterial small subunit ribosomal RNA". The record is from RNAcentral. Lineage: Bacteria; Pseudomonadati; Pseudomonadota; Gammaproteobacteria; Enterobacterales; Enterobacteriaceae.